AGUGAACGCUGGCGGUAGGCCUAACACAUGCAAGUCGAACGGCAGCACAGUAAGAACUUGCUCUUACGGGUGGCGAGUGGCGGACGGGUGAGGGAUACAUCGGAAUCUACUUUUUCGUGGGGGAUAACGUAGGGAAACUUACGCUAAUACCGCAUACGACCUACGGGUGAAAGCAGGGGAUCUUCGGACCUUGCGCGAUUGAAUGAGCCGAUGUCGGAUUAGCUAGUUGGCGGGGUAAAGGCCCACCAAGGCGACGAUCCGUAGCUGGUCUGAGAGGAUGAUCAGCCACACUGGAACUGAGACACGGUCCAGACUCCUACGGGAGGCAGCAGUGGGGAAUAUUGGACAAUGGGCGCAAGCCUGAUCCAGCCAUACCGCGUGGGUGAAGAAGGCCUUCGGGUUGUAAAGCCCUUUUGUUGGGAAAGAAAAGCAGCAGGUUAAUACCCCGCUGUUCUGACGGUACCCAAAGAAUAAGCACCGGCUAACUUCGUG
This 492-nucleotide ribosomal RNA is filed under the name uncultured bacterium. RNAcentral's name for it is "partial 16S ribosomal RNA". It matches the Rfam family "Bacterial small subunit ribosomal RNA", at positions 29 to 507 of the family's 1533-position model. The record is from RNAcentral.